UAUAUGGAAGUUCCCAGGCCAGGGGCUGAAUCUGAACCACAACUGCGACCUAUGCCACAGCUGCAGCAAUGCCAGAGCCUUUAACGCCCUGUGCUGUGCCAGGGAUCAAAACCGCACCUCUGCAGUGGCCUGAGCUGCUGCAGAGACAAUGCCAGAUCCUUAACUUGCUGUGCCAUAGCAGGAACCCCAAAUAUACUGUUGAAGUUGGUUUGUUAGUAUUUUGUUGGGGAUUUUUCCAUGUAUUUUCAUCAGGGAUAUUGACCUGCAUUUUUGCCUGGCUCUGAUAUAAGGCUAAUGCUGGACUCAUAAAAUGAGUUUGGAAGAGUUUCAUCCUCUUCAGUUUUUUUUAGAAAAUAUUGAGAAAGGUUGGCAUUAAUUCUUUAAAUGUUUGGUAGAAUUCACCAGUGAAGCCAUCUGGUCCUGGGCUUUUCUUUGUUGAGAGGUUUUGACUGAUUCAGUCUCUUUACUCAUUUUUGGUCUGUUCAGAUUUUCUGUUUUUUCAUGAUUCAGUCUUUUUUCUUACUUACAAAUUAUUUUAUUUUUUGUUUUUUAUUUUUAACUUUAAAUUUUUUAUUAUAGCUGAUUUGCAAUGUUGUGUAAAUUUCUUCUGUACAGCAAAAUGACCCAGAUAUAUACUUAUAUAUAUGUAUGUAUGUAUGUAUGUGUGUGUGUGUAUAUAUAUAUAUAUAUAUAUGUGUCUGUGAGUCUGUUUCUAUUUUGUAGAUAGGUUCAGUUGUGCCACAUUUCCAAUUCCCCAUAUAAGCGAUAUCAUAUAGUGUUUGUCUUUCUGACUUACAUCACUUAGUAUGAGAAUCUCUAAUUGCAUCCGUGCUGCUGCAAAUGGCAUUAUUUCCUUCUUUUUAUGGCUGAGUAAUAUUCCAUUGUGUAUAUGUACCACAUUUUCUUAAUUCAUUCAUCUGUCAACAUACAUUUAGGUUUGUUUCUAUGUCUUGGCUAUUGUGAGUAGUGUUGCUGUGAACAUAUGGAGGCUUGUAACAAUUUCCAAUAGCCAAGACAUGGAAACAACCUAAAUGCCCACUGACAGAGGAGUGGAUCAAGAAGAUGUGGUACAUAUACACAGUGGAAUAUUACUCAACCACUAAAAGGAAAAAAAUAAUGGCAUUUUUAGUAACAUGGAUGGACCUAGAAAUGAUCAUGCUAAAUGAAGUCAGACAACGCCAACAUCAAAUGCUUUCACUGACAUGUGGAAUCUGAAAAAAGGACAGAAUGAACUUCUUUGCAGGACAGAUACUGACUCACAGACUUUGAAAAACUUAAGGCCUCCAAAGGAGACAGUGUGGGGGGUGGGGGGAUGCGCUGGGGGUGUGGGAUGGAAAUCCUAUAAAAUUGGAUUGUGAUGAUCAUCGUACAACUACAAAUGUAAUAAAUUCAUUGAGUAAUGAAAAAAUAAAAAAUUAAAAAAAUUUAAAAAAACAUAUGGAUGCAUGUAUCUUUUUGAAUGAAAGUCUGUCUGGAUGUAUGCCCAGGAGUGGGAUUGCUGGAUCAUAUGGUAGUUCUAUAUUUAGUUUCUGAGUGCAUCUUCAUACUGUUCUCCAUAGUGGUUGUACCAAUUUACAUUCCCACCAACAGUGUAGGAGGGUUCCCUUUUAUCCACACCCUCUCCAACAUUUGUUAUUUGUAGACUUGUUAAUGAUAGCUAUUCUGACUGGUGUGAGGUGGUACCUUGUUUCAGUUUUGAUUUGCAUUUCUCUAAGAAUUAGAGAUGUUGAGCAUUUUUGCAUGUGCCUACUGGCCAUCUGUAGGUCUUCUUUGGAGAAAUGUCUAUUUAGGUCUUCUGCCCAUUUUUCUUUUUUAAAAUGAUUUUUAUUUUUUACAUCAUAGCUGGUUUACAGUGUUCUGUCAAUUUUCUACUGUACAGCCAGGUGAUCCAGUCACACCGACAUAUAUACAUUCUUUUUCUCACAUUAUCAUGGCAUCAUUGUUUAAUUGUUUCCCUUUCUCUAUUAGACAGGAACGCUUGAGAGGGCUGAAGCCAGAUAAAUGUCCUUUCCCCAGAUGGGAUAAGACUCUGAUAAAUUCUUUUCCUCUAGAGAGCAGAUCCUUUGUUGUAGAAACAGCUCUGUUUGGAUAACACUUUGUUAUGGACAAUGUAUA
RNAcentral lists this long non-coding RNA (2115 nucleotides) under Sus scrofa (pig). RNAcentral describes it as "lncRNA (ENSSSCG00000059845.1)". Lineage: Eukaryota; Metazoa; Chordata; Mammalia; Artiodactyla; Suidae. The record is from RNAcentral.